This 562-nucleotide small RNA is filed under the name Pan troglodytes (chimpanzee). RNAcentral's name for it is "processed transcript". The record is from RNAcentral. Lineage: Eukaryota; Metazoa; Chordata; Mammalia; Primates; Hominidae.
AUAUCCCAGAGGUUAUGAUAGGAUUUGUCGUUAUUGUCAUUCAGUUCAAAGAAUUUUUAAAUUUCCAUGUUGAUUUUGUUUUUGACCCAGUGAUCAUUCAGGAGCAGAGCCUGCAGCACUUUCUCAGAUUGACCAGCCUACAAUUGUGUAUCAACUGCUUGUUUACUAACUGCCAAGAACCUUUGUAAUCCCAAGGACUGCAGCAAAGCCAAGAAGCUGGUGUGUAAUAUCAACAAAGGCUGUGGCUAUGGCUGUCAGCUCCAUCAUGUGGUCUACUGCUUCAUGAUUGCAUAUGGCACCCAGCGAACACUCAUCUUGGAAUCUCAGAAUUGGCGCUAUGCUACUGGUGGAUGGGAGACUGUAUUUAGGCCUGUAAGUGAGACAUGCACAGACAGAUCUGGCAUCUCCACUGGACACUGGUCAGGUGAAGUGAAGGACAAAAAUGUUCAAGUGGUCGAGCUUCCCAUUGUAGACAGUCUUCAUCCCCGUCCUCCAUAUUUACCCUUGGCUGUACCAGAAGACCUCGCAGAUCGACUUGUACGAGUGCAUGGUGACCCUGCAG